This 440-nucleotide ribosomal RNA is filed under the name uncultured bacterium. Its description in RNAcentral is "partial 16S ribosomal RNA". It matches the Rfam family "Bacterial small subunit ribosomal RNA", at positions 338 to 795 of the family's 1533-position model. The record is from RNAcentral.
CCUACGGGAGGCUGCAGUGGGGGAUAUUGCACAAUGGUGGGAACCCUGAUGCAGCGACGCCGCGUGGGUGAAGGAGCGUUUCGGCGCGUAAAACCCUAUCGGCCGGGAAGAAGAUGACGGUACCUGACCACGAAGCCCCGGCUAACUACGGGCCAGCAGCCGCGGGAAUACGUAGGGGGCAAGCGUUAUCCGGAUUUACUGGGUGUAAAGGGGGCGCAGACGGCACUGCAAGCCAGGAGUGAAAGCCCUGGGCCCAACCCCGGGACUGCUCUUGGAACUGCAUGGCUGGAGUACAGGAGGGGCAGGCGGAAUGCGUAGUGUAGCGGUGAAAUGCGUAGAUAUUAGGAGGAACACCGGUGGCGAAGGCGGCCUGCUGGACUGUGACUGACGUUGAGGCCCGAAGGCGUGGGGAGCAAACAGGAUUAGAUACCCCUGUAGUC